UAAGGAAUAUUGCUCAAUGGGAGAAAUCCUGAAGCAGCAACGCCGCGUGGAGGAUGAAGGGUCUAUGACUUGUAAACUCCUGUAAAGAAGGAAAAAAUUCCCAUUUGAUGGGAGAUGAUGGUACUUCUGGAGUAAGCCCCGGCUAACUACGUGCCAGCAGCCGCGGUAAUACGUAGGGGGCAAGCGUUGUCCGGAUUUACUGGGUGUAAAGGGUGCUCAGGCGGAUUUGUAAGUCAGAGGUGAAAUCUUACAGCUUAACUGUGAAACUGCCUUUGAUACUGCAAGCCUAGAGUAUGGAAGAGAGUGAUGGAAUAUCUGGUGUAGCAGUGAAAUGCGUAGAUAUCAGAUAGAACACCAAUGGCGAAGGCAGUCACUUAGUCCAUUACUGACGCUAAAGCACGAAAGCGUGGGUAGCAAAC
Molecule: ribosomal RNA, 419 nt
Filed under: uncultured bacterium
Lineage: Bacteria
Description: bacterial SSU rRNA
Rfam family: Bacterial small subunit ribosomal RNA
Source: RNAcentral